UUUUUUCUCUCGCUAGUUCUGUUCGUCUCUCCGUCUCCGUCUCCUGCUCGUGAGCCCUGUUCGAAAGCUCAAUCUCGCACUCCCUCGCUCUCAGCUUCUUCGAUUCUAGUUAUCAAGAACGAUAUUAAGAAGAGAGGUGAUUUACGCCGCAAGAGUCCCGGAGAGAUGGAUGCCAAGGAAGAUCGCCGGACAUAGUCGUCAUUUUUUCCAUGUUUUAGUUCUUGCAGGGGCGUACAUGUAUUUUUUGGCUAUUUUGAUGUAUUUGGAAUGGAAUGAGACAGAAGGCUGUAAGAAUAAAAAAAAAAGGUUUUUUUCUUGGCAAAAAAAUUGGAUCAGAGCACUCUGAUCAGAGAUUUGAUAAA
Dendrobium catenatum is the source of this 362-nucleotide long non-coding RNA. RefSeq lists it as uncharacterized. Lineage: Eukaryota; Viridiplantae; Streptophyta; Magnoliopsida; Asparagales; Orchidaceae. The transcript has 2 exons. The record is from RefSeq and is a predicted model, not a curated record.